GGUAAACAUUGGCUUUUCAGUCGAGAGUCGAAGUCGUCUUCCGAAAUCUCACAUAUUAUUCUUUUUUUCUCACAUCAUGUGUGUGUCGUUAGUUGAUUAAUUCAUAUCCUUCAGAAAGACGAAAUCAAGGUGAUGGGGAGAAAGAAAAAAAUUACAAAAGAUCCUGAGCCUUAUCUUAUUCAACAUGCACCACUUAACUGGGAACAGCUCAGCACUAUUCUUGAAGCGCAGGACGGUGAUGACUCUCUGAAGGCUGUGGUUACUCAAGUAGCUACUCCAAGAGCUGGACAGGUUUACUUGGUAGAAUGUGCAGGUGCUCGAUUUGCUCGUUAUGAUAGCCACCGUUGGACAGCAUAUUACAGACAUGAUGGCUUGGGAGCCUUAUUGCCACAGGGAGAAGAGGAUAUGUACAAAGAUAAGAUUGAAGUCCGAUAUAAUAAAAAACGUGGAAAUCAUGAUAAUCUUUGCAAUGAGGCUGUCAGGAUUGUGUAUAAAUAUAAAUCCCCUGGAGAUCUGGUUCAGGGAAGCAGAGAUAUUUCCUAUCAUGUUGUCCAGUAUUUGGAAAAGUUACCAGACUAUGUAGAAAGCAAGGUAAGGCAAGACAAAGAAGUACAAGACACAGAAAUAAGAGAACUCGAGGAAAUGGCUAUGAAAGAGAAAGCAGUAAAACAGGCAGAAAAGGAGACGAGUUCGCCACAAGCAGCAUCAAGCAGCUUUGGAAGAAAGAGGAAGCCAAACAGUCGUUACACAGAUUUAUACAAAGUCGAAAUGACUACAACAAAAUCUCAGCAUUACAAUGAAGAAGACACAAGAACAGACUUUGAGGAUAGUGAGGAUGAGGAUGAACUAUAUGGAGAAAUGCCAGGUAGCCCCAAAAUAACUGAGGUGAGAAAACUGAUUCGUGGAAAACGUGGCCGACCUCCCAAGGUGAGAGUGAAAGGACAUGGGCGACAUGGUGGGACUACUUGGAUGGCUGGGUAUGGUGCAGAAAAGACAAAACCCAAGAGUUCAACCUUGUUCAGAAUGUGUGAGGACGACGAUGAUGAUGAUGAUGAUGACGAUGUUGAAGAAGAGGAGGAGGAGGAAGAGGAAGAAGAAGUAGUUAAGGAAGAGGAAGAGGAAGCAGUUAAGGAAGAGGGAGAAGAGGAGGAGACAACAGAUGAUUCAGUGAGUGUUAGUCUCCAGAAAGUUAUUGAUAAUGAAAAAGAGAAAGAGAAGAGAACUCAAGACAUAAAAGGAGAUGAAGUGGACAUAGACUCUGGACAGAUAUGGUACUGUGUUGACUUUCCCUCUGCAGCCAUGAAAGCCUCAAUUCCUUUGACAUUAGCCCAAGUAACAGAAACUUUUGAGAAGAUCAUUCAAGGAAAGAUGCUGGUAUAUACUUCUCAAGUUUUGAUAGCAAAAUCAGGAGAUGUCUUUGCUCUAGCUGAUGAAGUUGCCCUUAGUGAUACCGAGUUGUGGUCAAUGAAAAGUAGCUUCCCUCAGCAAAACAUGCCUGGCUUGACUGUCACAUGGUAUGAUCGCACCACAAUGCCACAGGAUUGUUUUGAUCUACAAGAUAAGCAGCCUGAUGUCAUGCUGAUUUACAAAUCAAAAACACAUGCCAAAUUCUGCAUGGUCCACUACCUCACCCUAGAGUCAUCUGGCUUGAAGUCUCCUGUUGUCUUGGCUGGGUCUGAUACCCCAAGCUCAGACUCUGUCCUGCAAUUAUUAGAUGAUCCAGAGACCAUAUCAGAAUGCUUUGACGAUCUGAAGAUUAAUGCUCUCCAUGCAAGUGAAAGCAUAGCAAGCACAUCAGCAAAGAACACUCAGGAAACUAAGUUGAAUACAGAGAAGAAGGGAAAGUCUCCUGGACGGCCAAGGCAUAGGGGACUGACAAGUGAAGGGGAGCUGAAAACCAAAGGGAAGAAGGCCUUUAGAGAAGGGCAAAAGGAAGGGAGAAAAAGGGAAUAUGCAGAUGAUGAGCCCCAGCCUUUCCGCAUUUAUACUAAAGGGAAGCUGUACCAUGCUGAUGCAGAUGAAAUAUUUAAAAAAGUGGAGGCAGGAGAAAUUACUGUAUAUAAAGAUGAGAUAAAAACACCUCAAUAUGGAGAUAUGUAUGUCCUUGAUAAGAAUUUUGUUCCAUUUAGUGAUUCAGUUCCCUGGGUGAGGGAGUACUACUAUAAGGCUCAUAAUAUACUCAUGGAAAGGUUUACACUACGAGAUUCCAAAAUGGUAUUCACGCAUCCACUCCCUCCUGCAGCAAAGUCAGUUUUUACCCUUGUUGAGAACGUGCCUCAGUUGUGCAUUGUGCAUUAUGAAAAGGGCAACAUUGGACGUGGAAAGAUGAAACAGAAGUCUGCAAAAUCAGAAGAAGCAGAACGGAGCAAAAAGAUAUACACAGAAUCCAAUUCAAACUUGACACUGUCAUUGGUGGCUGCAAUGCUCUCCAAUCCUGAUGAGAAAAGAAUCGUCAGUGCUCCUAUACUUAACCCACAGCCGUUCCAGGUGUACCUUCUGAGGUUACCAUCAGAAGAUAAUGCCAAAGUAAUAGACAACUACAGAUGGACAGACAAAGGCUUCAAGAGGUGGCCUUUAGGAGUAAGCAACUCAGAGACAAAGCUGCUCUGCUUCCACUGUCCAAUGAAGAUGGCACGCACUGCCAUGUGUACAGCCCUAAUGAGACAUGAGUUCAAGCACACGACAGCCUCCUCUGACCUCAGAGUUGUACACUACAUGCCUACAAGAGAAUUCAGGGAAUUUAUUGUUAUUUCAAAUGCUGCCAAACAGCUCCAACUGACAUCUGAGCUGGCAAGGGAGGGCUGGGAAAACAUGGAACUGGAGUCAGAGGCACCUCUAUAUGUUUCUUCGAGUCGCCUCAAACCCAUCACAGUGUGGGACCUGCUGACCAGAGAUGCUCAACAUGCCAGUCUUACAGGUCUCGUUAGGAUGGAAAUCAUCAACCCUCAACCUGGGGGUGUUUACCUCAGUACCAAAUAUGAAUCACCAGAUUUACUGGUUUGGGAAGAACUGGGAAGAAUCCAGAUUCAGCCAAGACUGUACCAAAUAGUUGAGGUUUGUGAGAAGAUCAGUGAUGCACAACCAUAUCUCCUGAGGUUAUGUUACACAUCGCCCAAGGUUCCCCACAAAGUUUUGGUGCAUUACUUAGGGGACACAAGACCAUAUCUCAUUAAAGAAUGUGAGAUAGUGAUUGAUGAAUACACAGGAGAACCAGCAUAUAUAACCAAGGGAUUGUGGAAGAAAGGCAAACGGAAGGCCUACUUGAGCUCAGAAUAUGCACUGGCGGAAGAGAAGCUGUACAGGAUCAGCAGCCACCACAUGAGAGAUGUUGGUUGUAUGCCACUCAAGCUAGAGGACCUUGACAUUACAGUUAAGCUUGAUCCACACAACCUCCCUGAUGACAAGGAGGAACUAAUAGCUCCAGAUAAACCGGGUCUCUACCUUUAUGGCCACCGGAUGAUGAAGAAGAGGAUAGUUCGUCUCCUAGAAAAUCUUGAUCGGAGUCGUAAAACACAAAUUCCUAUAAAGAAUCCUGAGGCAGGAGAGGCAUAUUUAGUAACAAAACCCUCUGGCACUAAAGCAGCUAUAGACUCCUACAAAUGGACCCAGAAAGGAUGGCAGCCUAUACCUCGGAAGGACCCCCUAGUUUUGUGGCGCUGGGGAUUACUGAGGCACAAGAAGCAAACAUGGGCACCCCCUCUCAUCCGCAUAGAUUAUGUGCACCUCAAAGUCAAUGCAGAUCUCAUGCUAGUCCAUUAUAUUCCAACCAAAGAUAAUGAAAUGAUGCUGGAAAUUAAAAGUGCUAUUGUCCCUGUCCGUGCCCAAACACACUCUCUCUUGUCCUUGGGGGAUGUAAACUUUGGUCAGCACUCUCAGUUGUUAACUAACAGUGCUCUUCCUCCAAGCCACAUAUGGGAACUGCUUAAUGCUGGAGGAGGGUUAUCUGAACCACUCACUGAGCCUCAACCUGGAGGUGUUUAUGUUAUAAAUGUUGGUGCCAAAGAGAAGUUGGACUUGUUCCGCUGGAAGACAGUAGGUGACAUUCGACUGUCUUCCAAUGACUAUGGCCUGAUGGAAACAUCCUACCUUAUUACAUGGGAGCCAGAAGGACUCUUUGCUCGCCUCACCUACCACACCCCUCUUAUCAAGAACAGGACAGUUAUACAUUACCUUGGGGACUGCAGACCUUAUUAUGACAAAGCUAAGGCUGAGGAAGAGGAGCGUCAGAAGAAAUUGGAGUACAUUAGGAAGAAGACUGGAAGCUCUCUAGAUAUUGAUUCAGUUGGUGGUCAUGAUGCUCAUCUGUCUCUUUCGGACAUUGGACCGCGAGAUGCUGCCACAGAAGCAGUUGGCUCCAUCUUAGCAGGCUUAGGAUCUAAUAUUAUGGACACUGAUAACCUCAAUCAAACUUUUGCAGAAUUAGGAGGAGAGGUUGAAGGUUUGUGUGAGGACCAGUUGUCCCUUCUCACAUCACGUCCAGAAGAUGAGCACCUGCGCGACUGCAACCUCACCCCUAUUGAAGUUCCCUUUGGGUCUAUCUCCACAUCAAACAUUGUGAAAGAACUCUUCCCACAGGGGUUGCCAAAGAUAACUAUCCAAAAGGUCCUUGAGGUAGAACCAUCAGAGCCUUUGCCCAAGAAGAGAAGACUGAAUAAUGUCAUUGAGCUACCAGAGCCCAAGUCCGAACUCAAAGAUGAUGACAAGAUAGUAACAGGUUCAUUCCGAGCUGUGCCACGAAGUAUAGAGGACUGGAACGAGGAAGAGGAAGAAAAAGAUGACUGUGAAGAAGGGGAGCAGCUCCAUCGCACUCGCCUGCAAAUAACCACUACUGAACCACGGACUAUUGUUUAUGUUAGGCAGCAGGAAAUUCUGACUGAGAAACAGAUUGAUCAUAUGUUGUGUUACCCAGAUAUAAGUCGUAUUUCCUUCCUGCCACUUAUAGAUCCACAGCCAGGAGAUGUCUUUGUUGUUGCAAUACCAUACAGAAAAGGAGAAGUCAGAAGAAUGGAUUGCUACAACUGGUAUGUAACUGGACACAAGAAAGGAAAAUACAGACGCACUUACAGCUAUAUCAAGGAAGAGGAUGGCAACAUCAGUCACAGAUUACUGCGUUACACCUAUGACUAUGCCUGGGAGAGUAUGCCUGGAUUACGAGUGAUUCACUACAUACCUGGGGAUCCUCGCCACCAAGUUCAAUGUGUGGGGAAGAAGCCAAAUUUUGAGGAAGAGCCUGAGGGACAAGGAAAUGGACCUUUGUACAGAGCCUACACAGCACCAAUGACUCACAGAGAUGCCCUAGCUAUAAUCAAUGACCCACCAAUGUACCACUUGUGUGAUCUGCCAGUCCAGGAUCCAAAAGCUGGAGAUGUUUAUAUUGUUAAAGCUCCAUCAAUGGCGAUUACAAGAAGAGAAAUGAUGUAUGACAACAUGACUUGGAGUGAAGGACACGUAAAACAUGUUGGGGGCAAACGACCAGUCGUGCGAAAAAUCAAAUAUGUGUCUGUUGAUCCAAGUGAUGGAGUAAAGUCUGAUGCAUUUGCCCGAGUGACUUGGGAAAGACUUGUUGAUGUCACAGCACUGGAUACAGAGAUGCCCAUAUCUAGAAAAAAACAAGCUUAUAUCAUUAUUCACUAUCUUGGAGAUGAAACUUUGGCUGGAGAAAUGGUUCGCAAAGGCAAAGAUGGGGCCCUUCACCUUCGUCAAAUAAGACAUUACAUAGAGACUGGAGCUUAUCUUGCUUCUGUUCACUUAACAGAGAAAAAUGGAAUUAGAAAGUCAGCCAAAAAAGUUUGUAAUUGAAGAUAAAAUGAUGUAUUAUGUUGGCAAGGAUGGCUCUGAAAAGAGGUUGGUGCUGUACACUAAUGAGGAGAAAAACAAAGCAUUUGAGGAGUGUCAUGUUCUGCAUAAAUCUGGGGAACAUUGUGGUCGUACCAAGACAUUA
This is an RNA transcript of Penaeus chinensis, 5941 nucleotides long. RefSeq lists it as uncharacterized. NCBI's taxonomy places the organism in Eukaryota, Metazoa, Arthropoda, Malacostraca, Decapoda, Penaeidae. The record is from RefSeq and is a predicted model, not a curated record. The transcript has 34 exons.